Molecule: ribosomal RNA, 482 nt
Filed under: uncultured bacterium
Lineage: Bacteria
Description: partial 16S ribosomal RNA
Rfam family: Bacterial small subunit ribosomal RNA
Source: RNAcentral
AUUGAACGCUGGCGGCAGGCCUAACACAUGCAAGUCGAGCGGAUGAAGGGAGCUUGCUCCUGGAUUCAGCGGCGGACGGGUGAGUAAUGCCUAGGAAUCUGCCUGGUAGUGGGGGAUAACGUCCGGAAACGGGCGCUAAUACCGCAUACGUCCUGAGGGAGAAAGUGGGGGAUCUUCGGACCUCACGCUAUCAGAUGAGCCUAGGUCGGAUUAGCUAGUUGGUGGGGUAAAGGCCUACCAAGGCGACGAUCCGUAACUGGUCUGAGAGGAUGAUCAGUCACACUGGAACUGAGACGCGGUCCAGACUCCUACGGGAGGCAGCAGUGGGGAAUAGUGGACAAGGGGCGAAAGCCUGAUCCAGCCAUGCCGCGUGUGUGAAGAAGGUCUUCGGAUUGUAAAGCACUUUAAGUUGGGGGGAAGGGCAGUAAGUUAAUACCUUGCUGUUGUGACGUUACCAACAGAAUAAGCACCGGCUAACUUCG